GGUGUGGAAGGCUUUAGAAUAAAAGUACAGUAGUACUGUCAGCAUCAAACCGCUCUGAACCCAGACACACAGCAGCUUCGUGGCGCUUUUCUUUCACGUCCCGCUAUGUCCUCAGACAGUACCAUGGACUUGGACUUGGAGCUUGGUGAGUUGCUCCAGGAGUUCCAGGAUGUGGUGGAGGAGCUGAAGGCCCCUUCUCAAAGCAGACCGCAUGCUUACCAGAAAGCAUUGCACGAGGCCAAAACUCUCACAGGGCUGAGUGAAGACAGUGGAGUCGAGGACUCAGAUUACAGCAGUGAACCAUCUAUGGGGAACAGUUUGAAUACCAGUGAGGAGGAGCUCCACACAGCAGGAAUAACGCUGGCAUCAAAAGCCAAGCUGGGAGACACAAGGGAUCUUGAGAGUUUUAUCGACAUGUUGGACCGGGAACUUGCUGAACAGAUCUGAUGGAGCAAAUGGUCCCCUCGCCGCUCCGGGGGAAAAGGUUAACAUCCGAAAUUAAAAGGGCAGUCCAUUCCGAAAAUGCAAGAACUCCCACAGACCCCCGGCGAUGCUGCGUCCAGCCAGCAAAGACAACGUCCGCCUGCAGCAUCAGAUCCAGGAUGUGUGACAUAUUCUUAAAAUGAGACAAAGCUUCCAUCUGUUUGGGCAUGUGACAAAAAAGAAAGAAGAAACACAACAAAAACACUGCCUAGAGUAUAGAAAGCAUGUUUAUCCCACAUUUUAAAAAAAAAUCCCAUAAGUGCAAUGCCUGGAAAGGGCUCUAAAUCCUCACGGCUGUGUAGUUUUGAAGAAAGCUGAGCUUUGUCUGGAUCAAAAUCUUAGACGGCACAAAAGUUUUAGGCUAAUUUCAAACUAAUUUUAAUUAGAAGGGCAUUUCUGGUGUACAGGUCUUUAUGAUAUUUGUUUUGUUUUAAUAAUAUAUAAUGUAUAUACAGAUGAAUGCAUGUAAAAAUAAAAAGAGAUUUGUAAUGAA
Astatotilapia calliptera (eastern happy) is the source of this 976-nucleotide long non-coding RNA. Lineage: Eukaryota; Metazoa; Chordata; Actinopteri; Cichliformes; Cichlidae. The record is from Ensembl.